AGAGUUUGAUCAUGGCUCAGAACGAACGCUGGCGGCGUGCUUAACACAUGCAAGUCGAACGCGAAAGGGACUUCGGUCCCGAGUAGAGUGGCGCACGGGUGAGUAACGCGUAAGUAAUCUACCCCUGUAUCUGGAAUAACCCACCGAAAGGUGAGCUAAUACCGGAUACGUUUAUCUUGAUGCGAAUGAUGAUAAAGAAAGGUGGCCUCUUCAUGAAAGCUACCGUACAGGGACGAGCUUGCGUACCAUUAGCUGGUAGGUAGGGUAAUGGCCUACCGAGGCGACGAUGGUUAGCGGGUCUGAGAGGAUGAUCCGCCACACUGGAACUGAAACACGGACCAGACUCCUACGGGAGGCAGCAGUGAGGAAUAUUGCGCAAUGGGGGCAACCCUGACGCAGCGACGCCGCGUGGACGAUGAAGGCCCUUGGGUCGUAAAAUCCUGUCAGAUGGAAAGAAAUGUACAGGUGUUAAUAUCGCCUGUAUUUGACGGUACCAUCAAAGGAAGCACCGGCUAACUCCGUGCCAGCAGCCGCGGUAAUACGGAGGGUGCGAGCGUUGUUCGGAAUUACUGGACGUAA
This 579-nucleotide ribosomal RNA is filed under the name uncultured bacterium. RNAcentral's name for it is "bacterial SSU rRNA". It matches the Rfam family "Bacterial small subunit ribosomal RNA", at positions 8 to 563 of the family's 1533-position model. The record is from RNAcentral.